RNAcentral lists this ribosomal RNA (301 nucleotides) under uncultured bacterium. RNAcentral describes it as "partial 16S ribosomal RNA". It matches the Rfam family "Bacterial small subunit ribosomal RNA", at positions 509 to 807 of the family's 1533-position model. The record is from RNAcentral.
CAGCAGCCACGGGAAUGCGAAGGGUGCAAGCGUUAAUCGGAAUUACUGGGCGUAAAGCGUGCGCAGGCGGUUGUGUAAGACAGGUGUGAAAUCCCCGGGCUUAACCUGGGAACUGCGCUUGUGACUGCACAGCUAGAGUAUGGCAGAGGGGGGUGGAAUUCCACGUGUAGCAGUGAAAUGCGUAGAGAUGUGGAGGAACACCGAUGGCGAAGGCAGCCCCCUGGGCCAAUACUGACGCUCGUGCACGAAAGCGCGGGGAGCAAACAGGAUUAGAUACCCCCGUAGUCCCUGUCUCUUAUAC